UGAGAUGUUGGGUUAAGUCCCGCAACGAGCGUAACCCCUAUCUUAUGUUGCCAGCACGUUAUGGUGGGGACUCGUAAGAGACUGCCGGGGUCAACUCGGAGGAAGGUGGGGACGACGUCAAGUCAUCAUGCCCCUUAUGUCCAGGGCUUCACACAUGCUACAAUGGCCAGUACAGAGGGCUGCGAGACCGUGAGGUGGAGCGAAUCCCUUAAAGCUGGUCUCA
This 223-nucleotide ribosomal RNA is filed under the name uncultured Actinomycetes bacterium. RNAcentral describes it as "uncultured actinobacterium partial 16S ribosomal RNA". It matches the Rfam family "Bacterial small subunit ribosomal RNA", at positions 1068 to 1290 of the family's 1533-position model. Lineage: Bacteria; Bacillati; Actinomycetota; Actinomycetes. The record is from RNAcentral.